RNAcentral lists this long non-coding RNA (206 nucleotides) under Pan troglodytes (chimpanzee). Its description in RNAcentral is "long non-coding RNA NONPTRT012609". Lineage: Eukaryota; Metazoa; Chordata; Mammalia; Primates; Hominidae. The record is from RNAcentral.
UUUUACCCAUUUGGUUUAAUAUAAACAAAGAGUCUGCCAUUUCUUCCUUAAUUAAGCAUGUAUUAAGUGUUUACACUCAAGCGUCAUACAAAGCCCUCAAAUAUCUUAAAGCCCAGUGUGGCAGACAGAAAUAUGAAGGAAUAAGGUCAAAGUACAAUUAUGGAUUUCCUAAUAAAUGUCUGUGCUUUGUAAGAGGAGGGGGUGGG